GGACGGGUGAGUAAUGUCUGGGAAACUGCCCGAUGGAGGGGGAUAACUACUGGAAACGGUAGCUAAUACCGCAUAACGUCUACGGACCAAAGUGGGGGACCUUCGGGCCUCACACCAUCGGAUGUGCCCAGAUGGGAUUAGCUAGUAGGUGGGGUAACAGGCUCACCUAGGCGACGAUCCCUAGCUGGUCUGAGAGGAUGACCAGCCACACUGGAACUGAGACACGGUCCAGACUCCUACGGGAGGCAGCAGUGGGGAAUAUUGCACAAUGGGCGCAAGCCUGAUGCAGCCAUGCCGCGUGUAUGAAGAAGGCCUUCGGGUUGUAAAGUACUUUCAGCGGGGAGGAAGGCGAUGAGGUUAAUAGCCUCGUCGAUUGACGUUACCCGCAGAAGAAGCACCGGCUAACUCCGUGCCAGCAGCCGCGGUAAUACGGAGGGUGCAAGCGUUAAUCGGAAUUACUGGGCGUAAAGCGCACGCAGGCGGUCUGUCAAGUCGGAUGUGAAAUCCCCGGGCUCAACCCGGGAACUGCAUUCGAAACUGGCAGGCUAGAGUCUUGUUAGAGGGGGGUAGAAUUCCAGGUGUAGCGGUGAAAUGCGUAGAGAUCUGGAGGAAUACCGGUGGCGAAGGCGGCCCCUGGACAAGACUGACGCUCAGGUGCGAAAGCGUGGGAGCAAACAGGAUUAGAUACCCUGGUAGUCCACGCCGUAAACGAUGUCGACUUGGAGGCUGUUCCCUUGAGGAGUGGCUUCCGGAGCUAACGCGUUAAGUCGACCGCCUGGGGAGUACGGCCGCAAGGUUAAAACUCAAAUGAAUUGACGGGGGCCCGCACAAGCGGUGGAGCAUGUGGUUUAAUUCGAUGCAACGCGAAGAACCUUACCUGGCCUUGACAUCCACGGAAUUCUGCAGAGAUGCGGAAGUGCCUUCGGGACCCGUGAGACAGGUGCUGCAUGGCUGUCGUCAGCUCGUGUUGUGAAAUGUUGGGUUAAGUCCCGCAACGAGCGCAACCCUUAUCCUUUGUUG
Molecule: ribosomal RNA, 1020 nt
Filed under: Erwinia piriflorinigrans
Lineage: Bacteria; Pseudomonadati; Pseudomonadota; Gammaproteobacteria; Enterobacterales; Erwiniaceae
Description: bacterial SSU rRNA
Rfam family: Bacterial small subunit ribosomal RNA
Source: RNAcentral